GACGAACGCUGGCGGCGUGCUUAACACAUGCAAGUCGAACGGAAAGGCCCUGCUUUUGUGGGGUGCUCGAGUGGCGAACGGGUGAGUAACACGUGAGUAACCUGCCCUUGACUUUGGGAUAACUUCAGGAAACUGGGGCUAAUACCGGAUAGGAGCUCCUGCUGCAUGGUGGGGGUUGGAACGUUUCGGCGGUUGGGGAUGGACUCGCGGCUUAUCAGCUUGUUGGUGGGGUAGUGGCUUACCAAGGCUUUGACGGGUAGCCGGCCUGAGCGGGUGGCCGGCCACAUUGGGACUGAGGUACGGCCCAGACUCCUACGGGAGGCAGCGGUGGGGAAUAUUGCACAAUGGGCGGAAGCCUGAUGCAGCAACGCCGCGUGCGGGAUGACGGCCUUCGGGUUGUAAACCGCUUUCGCCUGUGACGAAGCGUGAGUGACGGUAAUGGGUAAAGAAGCACCGGCUAACUACGUG
RNAcentral lists this ribosomal RNA (468 nucleotides) under uncultured bacterium. RNAcentral describes it as "partial 16S ribosomal RNA". It matches the Rfam family "Bacterial small subunit ribosomal RNA", at positions 28 to 507 of the family's 1533-position model. The record is from RNAcentral.